This 440-nucleotide ribosomal RNA is filed under the name uncultured bacterium. RNAcentral's name for it is "bacterial SSU rRNA". It matches the Rfam family "Bacterial small subunit ribosomal RNA", at positions 958 to 1397 of the family's 1533-position model. The record is from RNAcentral.
AACGCGAAGAACCUUACCUGGGCUCGAAAUGUAGAGGACGAUAUCAGAGAUGAUAUCUCUCGAAAGGGUCUUUACAUAGGUGCUGCAUGGCUGUCGUCAGCUCGUGCCGUGAGGUGUUUGGUUAAGUCCAGCAACGAGCGCAACCCUUAUCGUUAGUUGCCAGCGCGUAAUGGCGGGAACUCUAACGAGACUGCCUGGGUUAACCAGGAGGAAGGUGAGGAUGACGUCAAGUCCGCAUGGCCUUUAUGUCCAGGGCAACACACGUGCUACAAUGGUCGGUACAGAAGGCAGCGAAACCGCGAGGUGAAGCAAAUCCUAUAAAACCGAUCUCAGUUCAGAUUGUAGUCUGCAACUCGACUACAUGAAGUUGGAAUUGCUAGUAAUGGCGUGUCAGCUACAACGCCGUGAAUACGUUCCCGGGCCUUGUACACACCGCGAGC